CGUCCCACAAGUAUAUACUAUUCAACGAUUAGGUUAUGCAAAUCCUAAUAGAUUAUGCAAAUAUGAAAUCCUAGAAUAGGUUAUCUUUGCUGAGCAUGGACCAUAUCCUAUCAAGAUCAUGAUCCAUCCCACCUAUAGGUAACUUAUUCCAAAAUCAAAUAUAAAAGAAAUUGAAUAGAACUUGAAAGUAUUUGAGUAAUUGUAGAGAAUAGAAAACAAAUACUUAAAAUUAUGUAAGUGUAAAAAAAUGGAUG
This 254-nucleotide long non-coding RNA is filed under the name Elaeis guineensis (African oil palm). Its description in RNAcentral is "long non-coding RNA (EGUI_LNC079814)". Lineage: Eukaryota; Viridiplantae; Streptophyta; Magnoliopsida; Arecales; Arecaceae. The record is from RNAcentral.